This 497-nucleotide ribosomal RNA is filed under the name uncultured bacterium. RNAcentral describes it as "partial 16S ribosomal RNA". It matches the Rfam family "Bacterial small subunit ribosomal RNA", at positions 28 to 507 of the family's 1533-position model. The record is from RNAcentral.
GAUGAACGCUGGCGGCGUGCCUAAUACAUACAAGUCGAGCGAACGGACGAGAAGCUUGCUUCUCUGAUGUUAGCGGCGGACGGGUGAGUAACACGUGGAUAACCUACCUAUAAGACUGGGAUAACUUCGGGAAACCGGAGCUAAUACCGGAUAAUAUUUUGAACCGCAUGGUUCAAAAGUGAAAGACGGUCUUGCUGUCACUUAUAGAUGGAUCCGCGCUGCAUUAGCUAGUUGGUAAGGUAACGGCUUACCAAGGCAACGAUGCAUAGCCGACCUGAGAGGGUGAUCGGCCACACUGGAACUGAGACACGGUCCAGACUCCUACGGGAGGCAGCAGUAGGGAAUCUUCCGCAAUGGGCGAAAGCCUGACGGAGCAACGCCGCGUGAGUGAUGAAGGUCUUCGGAUCGUAAAACUCUGUUAUUAGGGAAGAACAUAUGUGUAAGUAACUGUGCACAUCUUAACGGUACCUAAUCAGAAAGCCACGGCUAACUACGUG